RNAcentral lists this ribosomal RNA (164 nucleotides) under Eragrostis japonica. Its description in RNAcentral is "5.8S ribosomal RNA". It matches the Rfam family "5.8S ribosomal RNA". Rfam says of the family: 5.8S ribosomal RNA (5.8S rRNA) is a component of the large subunit of the eukaryotic ribosome. It is transcribed by RNA polymerase I as part of the 45S precursor that also contains 18S and 28S rRNA. Lineage: Eukaryota; Viridiplantae; Streptophyta; Magnoliopsida; Poales; Poaceae. The record is from RNAcentral. RNAcentral also lists the same sequence under 9 other names.
CACAUGACUCUCGGCAACGGAUAUCUCGGCUCUCGCAUCGAUGAAGAACGUAGCAAAAUGCGAUACCUGGUGUGAAUUGCAGAAUCCCGCGAACCAUCGAGUUUUUGAACGCAAGUUGCGCCCGAGGCCUUCUGGCCGAGGGCACGUCUGCCUGGGCGUCACGC